AUAAUAAAGCGCGCCCGUGAUUGGCCGAGGGGAAACGUGACUCGUUUUGUGGAAUCGCUUAUUCACACGACCGAGUGACGGGUCGAUUGGCCAAUCACAGACGACACAGAGGGCUGAGCCACACUAAUGCUGCCUUCAGGGACUCAAGGUGACCGGGAAAUACGGAACUCCUGUUAGCAGGCCAAGUCCUAUCGAAGAGAAGUGUAUUUACGACGUGCGUCAAAGAGGCACCUGAAUGCACCAUCACAGCCACGCCCCCAGUCCCACGUUGCUCUUACCUAAAAUGCCCUACAUGCGUGAGAGAAGCCGCAGUUGUGGACGCCUGUUUACUUUGAAUGUUCCAUGUGAUUUUAAGUGUCAGGUUUGUAGCGGAUACAUCAGUGGAUCUACAUGUAGUUUGAUCCAACAAUAAACAAGAUCCCGCUCAUUUCCGUAGAAUGAACGUUGAUUUCGUUCGGACAAAAAACAAAGGAGGGGGGAAAAAGAAAGGAAACAACAAUAGAUUUUGAUAGGAUUGCUCCAUAGGCCCACACAUGCAGGUGGCGCACUCGGUAACCCGACGGCUGCAUAUUUCAUGACGACAGAUUAGAUCCCUGUUGUCUAUGACUGCACAGACCCGUUAAAAAUACUUUGGUGGUUGUUGUUGCUGUGCAUGUAGGCCACAGGCUGCAGCUCGACGUGUGGAUGGUAAAGAGCGCUGUCGUGGCUGACUGUGUGUCCCACAGCUCCUAAUCUACCUGCCCUGCUCUUACCGGCCACGUUCAAACCUGAGGCAUGGCCACCAAGCAGUCUUUCUGUAUAUGCUUAUUUCCAAUAGAAGCAGAAAUGUCACAGGGUUUGAUUUGCCGGUGCCAAUGAAAAAUGAAGAGGAUUGACCUGCGAUUUUGGCCUUGUGCAGGUCUCGGGUUUCAUGUUACGCGAAUGCCUUGUGAAAAUAGUCGAAGUUCAUGAUACCUGCGUAUUUGGAAGAACAAUUUGAGACACUGUGACUAGUGAUACAACCCGGUUCCUCACAGGUCACAUGGGUAACGUCCAUGUGUCAACAGCUGCAGUGGCAACCAGAGCUGCCAUAUAACUACGGAGGUGAUGGCACAUGCUGUUCAUCUGUGUCAUGGAGAGCGGUGCAUGUGAUUUGCCACUGUUGUCCCAUAAUGCUUCAGCUGCAGACAGGUCUCACUCUGUGCCCCAGUUCCGCAACCAUGGUCUGAUUCUAAAUUAGCGCUGUCCUCAGCUGUCCCCAAAGCUGCACUUGAACCCCUCAGUGCCAGUGCAAACUCUGUGUGCAUGGGGUCGGUUAUAUAGCAUAACUCCUAACAAGCCAAUAUGACAAUUUGGUCGAUAUAGAUGUAACUCUUGUAGACUGAGGUGCAUUAUUAAAGGUUAUAAUGCACCUUCGGUUUUAUUUAAAGUGUUAAUGGUGUUUUAUUUGUACGGAUGUACGCACAUUUGAACAAUCGGUUCUGGAGACUGUUUGUUGUCAAGAGAGAGCAUCUUACAGUUGAAUAUUCAGAGUUGCCCACACACACAUAUGUAUAUAUAUAUAUAGUCUACUUGAAACUGUAACAGGACCCACUGCUAAAAAAAAAAAAGGAAAGCAGUGCAGUGUGUGGUUCAUUCGUGGCCAAAUUUCCUUGAAAAUCCUACUCAGCUCUGUGGGAGUAGGAUUGAGCAACGCUGCCAUGCAAUACUUAUUCCUCGACACGAACUGUGUGGACUUCCUUUGGACAAAUGCCUCACCCAGGACACACACACACACACACACACACACACACAGUGCAUUUUCGUAUGACCAAAGUAUGGGUCCUUACAUGCCACAGAUGUGUAUCUGUGUAUGUUGAUGAUGCCAAAACUGUGGGAAUGUAACAUUACAUCUCACCAUUUAAGUGUCACUUCUCUAAUAAACAGCUGUUAAGAAAAGACAUAAAAACCAUCUGCCCUUGAGGCUAAAUCCUGUCUGCACUGCAGCGAAUUUGUCCCCGAUGUGCACAUCACGGCGCACACGGUGGGCUGUGAGCUGAGACACAUGUGCAGGGAGAAAGGUUCAGGAAAACGGCAGAAAUAAUAAUAAUAACAGAUCAGCAGAAACACCGCAGGGACUCUGCCCCUCUCCCCGGAUCGUCCCGUACUGGAACUCCGCCUCCCCUUUGGUGGCAGAAUCCCUAGAUUUCCAGGAAAAACAAAAACCCCUCUUGUUAGCGCGCGGGGGUUUGGCCGGACUCGACUCGCCUGCAGCCUCCCUCCUGCUCCAGCUCCUCCUCUCAGCAGAGCAGUAAACAUUUCUGUGAAAGAGGAGGUGCCUGUGUCGCUGCUGCCCCACAUCUCCCCUCUCACAGAAGUGCAGGAGUUCAGGAAGGCGCAUCUGGGUCAUGUUAUUGUGUUGACACCGACUGACACAGUGUGCCAAGAAGUGAAAUACUUUUUUUUUUUUUUUUUUUGGGUGUGCGUGUGCUGUAACAGAGGAGGAGGAGGAGGAGGAGGUGGCACAUGCGUAAUCUCAGGACAGAAUGUUCCCUUCGACGUGUUGACGCACCACCGCCGGCCAGGCUCGCCUUUACAUGAUCCCGCGCACGCACCCGCAGGCGGACAGAGCGUGGGACAGACAGGACGUCCUGGUUCGGUCAGUGGCCCCCCUGCUGCACUGUGCGCACAAUGGACACAACAGGACGGAGUGUGAAGCCUCAAUCUACAGUGUUAAUCACUCCGUGGCUGCACUUUCACCCAAAAGGACCGUGUAGAAAUAGAUCAUAUACAGGGAACGUGCUUGCAGUGGCGUGAACCCAAAUAAAAUGAGCCUUACCCAAGGCUUUUAUUUGUA
This is a long non-coding RNA of Scophthalmus maximus (turbot), 2815 nucleotides long. RefSeq lists it as uncharacterized. The transcript has 2 exons. The record is from RefSeq and is a predicted model, not a curated record. Lineage: Eukaryota; Metazoa; Chordata; Actinopteri; Pleuronectiformes; Scophthalmidae.